GACGAACGCUGGCGGCGUGCUUAACACAUGCAAGUCGAACGGAAAGGCCCUGCUUUUGUGGGGUGCUCGAGUGGCGAACGGGUGAGUAACACGUGAGUAACCCGCCCUUCACUUUGGGAUAACUUCACGAAACUCGGGCUAAUACCGGAUAGGAGCUCCUGCUGCAUGGUGGGGGUUGGAAAGUUUCGGCUGUUGGGGACGGACUCGCGGCUUAUCAGCUUGUUGGUGGGGUAGUGGCUUACCAAGGCUUUGACGGGUAGCCGGCCUGAGAGGGUGACCGGCGACAUUGGGACUGAGAUACGGACCAGAAUCCUACGGGAGGCAGCAGUGGGGAAUAUUGCACAGUGGGCGGAAGCCUGAUGCAGAGACGCCGCGUGCGGGAUGACGGCCUUCGGGUUGUAAACAGCUUUCGCCUGUGACGAAGCGUGAGUGACGGUACUGGGUAAAGAAGCACCGGCUAACUACGUG
RNAcentral lists this ribosomal RNA (468 nucleotides) under uncultured bacterium. Its description in RNAcentral is "partial 16S ribosomal RNA". It matches the Rfam family "Bacterial small subunit ribosomal RNA", at positions 28 to 507 of the family's 1533-position model. The record is from RNAcentral.